UACGUAGGGGGCAAGCGUUGUCCGGAAUCAUUGGGCGUAAAGGGCGCGUAGGCGGUCCCGUCAGUCCCUUGUGAAAUCCCCCGGCUCAACUGGGGAACUGCAAGGGAUACAGCGGGGCUUGAGUUCGGGAGAGGGAAGCGGAAUUCCGGGUGUAGCGGUGAAAUGCGCAGAUAUCAGGAGGAACACCGGUGGCGAAGGCGGGUCUCUGGGCCGAUACUGACGCUGAGGAGCGAAAGCGUGGGGAGCGAACAGG
RNAcentral lists this ribosomal RNA (253 nucleotides) under uncultured bacterium. Its description in RNAcentral is "partial 16S ribosomal RNA". It matches the Rfam family "Bacterial small subunit ribosomal RNA", at positions 524 to 776 of the family's 1533-position model. The record is from RNAcentral.